AAGUCGUAACAAGGUCUCCGUUGGUGAACCAGCGGAGGGAUCAUUACAGAGUUGCAAAACUCCCUAAACCAUUGUGAACGUUACCUUUACCGUUGCUUCGGCGGGCGGCCCGGGUCCUGCCCGGCGCCCCUGGCCCCUCGCGGGCGCCCGCCGGAGGUAAACCAAACCAUUGCAUUGUAUGGCCUCUCUGAGUCUUCUGUACUGAAUAAGUCAAAACUUUCAACAACGGAUCUCUUGGUUCUGGCAUCGAUGAAGAACGCAGCGAAAUGCGAUAAGUAAUGUGAAUUGCAGAAUUCAGUGAAUCGUCGAAUCUUUGAACGCACAUUGCGCCCGCCGGUAUUCUGGCGGGCAUGCCUGUUCGAGCGUCAUUUCAACCAUCAAGCCCCGGGCUUGUGUUGGGGACCUGCGGCUGCCGCAGGCCCUGAAAACCAGUGGCGGGCUCGCUAGUCACUCCGAGCGUAGUAGUUACAUCUCGCUCAGGGCGUGCUGCGGGUUCCGGCCGUUAAAAGCCUUUUACCCCAAGGUUGACCUCGGAUCAGGUAGGAAGACCCGCUGAACUUAG
RNAcentral lists this ribosomal RNA (562 nucleotides) under uncultured fungus. RNAcentral describes it as "eukaryotic LSU rRNA". The stretch from base 215 to 368 matches the Rfam family "5.8S ribosomal RNA". Lineage: Eukaryota; Fungi. The record is from RNAcentral.